This 71-nucleotide transfer RNA is filed under the name Kamptonema sp. SIO1D9. RNAcentral's name for it is "tRNA-Asn". It matches the Rfam family "tRNA". From Rfam's summary of the family: Transfer RNA (tRNA) molecules are approximately 80 nucleotides in length. Their secondary structure includes four short double-helical elements and three loops (D, anti-codon, and T loops). Further hydrogen bonds mediate the characteristic L-shaped molecular structure. tRNAs have two regions of fundamental functional importance: the anti-codon, which is responsible for specific mRNA codon recognition, and the 3' end, to which the tRNAs corresponding amino acid is attached (by aminoacyl-tRNA synthetases). tRNAs cope with the degeneracy of the genetic code in two manners: having more than one tRNA (with a specific anti-codon) for a particular amino acid; and 'wobble' base-pairing, i.e. permitting non-standard base-pairing at the 3rd anti-codon position. The record is from RNAcentral. Lineage: Bacteria; Bacillati; Cyanobacteriota; Cyanophyceae; Oscillatoriales; Microcoleaceae.
UCCCUUCUAGCUCAAUGGCAGAGCGGUCGGUUGUUAACCGACUGAUGUAAGUUCGACUCUUACGGAGGGAG